UUCAUGUGUGCCUGGCACUCGGC
Molecule: non-coding RNA, 23 nt
Filed under: Rattus norvegicus (Norway rat)
Lineage: Eukaryota; Metazoa; Chordata; Mammalia; Rodentia; Muridae
Source: RNAcentral